GGAUCAGUAGCUCAGCUGGAUAGAGCAUUAGCCUUCUAAGCUAACGGUCGCAGGUUCGAAUCCUGCCUGAUUCACUA
This 77-nucleotide transfer RNA is filed under the name Flavobacteriales bacterium. RNAcentral's name for it is "tRNA-Arg". It matches the Rfam family "tRNA". From Rfam's summary of the family: Transfer RNA (tRNA) molecules are approximately 80 nucleotides in length. Their secondary structure includes four short double-helical elements and three loops (D, anti-codon, and T loops). The record is from RNAcentral. Lineage: Bacteria; Pseudomonadati; Bacteroidota; Flavobacteriia; Flavobacteriales.